ACGUAUGGUGCAAGCGUUAUCCGGAUUUACUGGGUGUAAAGGGAGCGUAGACGGUUGUGUAAGUCUGAUGUGAAAGCCCGGGGCUCAACCCUGGGACUGCAUUGGAAACUAUGUAACUAGAGUGUCGGAGAGGUAAGCGGAAUUCCUAGUGUAGCGGUGAAAUGCGUAGAUAUUAGGAGGAACACCAGUGGCGAAGGCGGCUUACUGGACGAUCACUGACGUUGAGGCUCGAAAGCGUGGGGAGCAAACAG
This 251-nucleotide ribosomal RNA is filed under the name uncultured bacterium. RNAcentral describes it as "partial 16S ribosomal RNA". It matches the Rfam family "Bacterial small subunit ribosomal RNA", at positions 525 to 775 of the family's 1533-position model. The record is from RNAcentral.